GAUGAACGCUGACAGAAUGCUUAACACAUGCAAGUCUUUGGCGAAGCUGUGCUUGCACAGCCUAGCCAAGGCGGACGGGUGAGUAACGCGUAAGGAACUUGCCCUGCAGUCUGGGAUAACAGACGGAAACGACUGAUAAGACCUGGUAAAGUCAGGCGGACUCAUGUCCAGCCUGAUGAAAAGUGAUGCUGCAGGAGAGCCUUGCGUCCUAUUAGCUUGUUGGUGGGGUAACGGCCCACCAAGGCGAUGAUAGGUAGCCGGCCUGAGAGGGUGGACGGCCACAAGGGGACUGAGAUACGGCCCUUACUCCUACGGGAGGCAGCAGUGGGGAAUAUUGGACAAUGGGGGCAACCCUGAUCCAGCAAUUCUGUGUGCACGAUGAAGGUUUUCGGAUUGUAAAGUGCUUUCAGCAGGGAAGAAAAAAAUGACGGUACCUGCAGAAGAAGCGACGGCUAAAUACGUG
Molecule: ribosomal RNA, 463 nt
Filed under: uncultured bacterium
Lineage: Bacteria
Description: partial 16S ribosomal RNA
Rfam family: Bacterial small subunit ribosomal RNA
Source: RNAcentral